CCAAUAGCGUAUAUUAAAGUUGUUGCAGUUAAAAAGCUCGUAGUUGAAUUUCGGGGUUAGUAAGUUGGUUGUGCCACUGGUAUGUACUGGCUUUACUGAUUCCUCCUUCUUGUAGAACCGUAAUGCCAUUAAGUUGGUGUUGCGGGGAAACAGGACUGUUACUUUGAAAAAAUUAGAGUGUUUAAAGCAAGCUAACGCUUGAAUACAUUAGCAUGGAAUAAUGAAAUAGGACGUUCGAUCCUAUUUUGUUGGUUUCUAGGAUUGACGUAAUGAUUAAUAGGGAUAGUUGGGGGCAUUAGUAUUCAAUUGUCAAAGGUGAAAUUCUUGGAUUUAUUGAAGACUAACUACUGCGAAAGCAUUUGCCAAGGAUGUUUUCAUUAAUCAAGAACGAAAGUUAGGGGAUCGAAGACGAUCAGAUACCGUCGUAGUCUUAACCAUAAACUAUGCCGACUAGGGAUCGGAUGAUGUUAAUUUUAUAAUGACUCAUUCGGCGCCUUACG
Molecule: unclassified non-coding RNA, 500 nt
Filed under: uncultured Glomus
Lineage: Eukaryota; Fungi; Glomeromycota; Glomeromycetes; Glomerales; Glomeraceae
Description: SSU rRNA
Rfam family: Eukaryotic small subunit ribosomal RNA
Source: RNAcentral